RNAcentral lists this long non-coding RNA (683 nucleotides) under Anas platyrhynchos platyrhynchos (common mallard). Its description in RNAcentral is "lncRNA (ENSAPLG00000026903.1)". Lineage: Eukaryota; Metazoa; Chordata; Aves; Anseriformes; Anatidae. The record is from RNAcentral.
AACAGAUAAAUAUCUGAGCUGAGAUGGUUCAACAUAGGCCUAACUAGUCAGCUCAAUAUUUUCUUAAAAAAAAUAAAUAUUAAAUUAAAAAAAAAAAAAAAAGGCAAUACAGGAAGAGACUGAUAAUUGGAAGAAUAACAAUGAAGUUACUCUCACAACCUAGGAAUAGAGAAGUCUAUGAAGGCAACCAUGAAUAAAAAGUUCAGAGAACAGUUUCUUCAUUCUAGAACUAGAAGACCAUUGGGAGAGAAGGGACAUCUGUCACCAAAAAAGAAAAGGCCAAGAAGGACAGGACAGAGGAAUCUCAGCUUGUUGCAACCCACCAGCACUGCUAUGAUUCUCUACAGAAAAUGUGAAUACUUCAUACUCCUUCACUGUAAAGAUGAGAAUUCAUUCAUCCUCAGAAAUCUCUACCUUCCUUGCAGUUGCUGCAGAAGAUAAGAUCACAUACACUAAUCCUGCCAUGUUCAGAGAUGUUCUGAGACAGCCAUUAAAUUCAUGCUAAGUGAGAAGCAAAAUGAGAAGACUCUUCUUGAAGCUAUGCUGCUGACAUGCAUCACAUGGAAAAGUUUUGUGAAGGUGGCUGACUUCAUCAUCCCGUGGAGCUUUCUAAAUCCUGUCACUGGGCUUGAAAAAGUGAAAUAUAAAAUAAAAUAAAAUAAAAUAAAAUAAAAUAAAAUAAA